Long non-coding RNA from Alligator sinensis (Chinese alligator), 554 nucleotides. RefSeq lists it as uncharacterized. The record is from RefSeq and is a predicted model, not a curated record. Lineage: Eukaryota; Metazoa; Chordata; Crocodylia; Alligatoridae. The transcript is spliced from 3 exons.
GGCCAAUAAACCUGGGUUCUGGUAUAGAGCUUCAGACUGGCCCAUGCUUGGCUGAGAAGAAACUCUGGUGGGAGUAGUUCUGUAACUACUUAUGCAGUCCAGGCAUCCUUCCAGACUGCUGAAUUUAGCAGCACCUCACUUCAGAAUCCAGUUUCACUCUUUUUGACCAUGAAAAGAGCAACAGACCAAUUCUUCUGUUGCAAAGAAUUCAAGAAAACCACAACAGCACCCUUGAAAAUCUCAGGGCACCACAAGGUGAGAAUUGCCCUGGUCUAAGGAGACAAGAUAUACGAACAGCAGGAGGAGAAAUGAAGAGGUCAAGCAACAUGCCAGGGCAACCCAGAAGCAGUGGCAAAGCUAAGUAUACAUAGAACCCAUGGGACUUUGUCACAAUCCAGUGCUUUGGUCAUCCACCCACGCGGACUAUUCUGACUGCUAGAAGAUGGAUUUGGCAAGUUGGGCUCAUGUCUGAGCAUACAGUUGGUGUAAGAACAAUAACUGCUCAUCUUUAUGGCUACCUUGCAGCAUCUGCAUCCUCAUUACUGUUUGUUUGU